RNAcentral lists this long non-coding RNA (218 nucleotides) under Nicotiana benthamiana. Its description in RNAcentral is "long non-coding RNA (NBEN_LNC020791)". Lineage: Eukaryota; Viridiplantae; Streptophyta; Magnoliopsida; Solanales; Solanaceae. The record is from RNAcentral.
UCUCUGACAAGAGAAACUAUAAAAUGAAAACUUAUCAAACGCGGAUACAGACUCUAAUGGUCAUGACAUGCACAUGUGGCCUAUCAUCUGUCGUCAAUCGUCUUUCACAAUUUGUGUUUGGUGAUUUUCAUCUGAUUCUCAAGCUUUAUUCGACUUGUAGUUCGCAAAGGGUUUUCACUAUUAAGCCUCUCUCAUUUUGGUUUUUCUCUCAGCUUUUA